RNA transcript from Panicum virgatum (switchgrass), 4263 nucleotides. RefSeq lists it as uncharacterized. The transcript is spliced from 6 exons. Lineage: Eukaryota; Viridiplantae; Streptophyta; Magnoliopsida; Poales; Poaceae. The record is from RefSeq and is a predicted model, not a curated record.
AAAGAGAUAGAUUUGGAUAGGAGCGCUUGGAGACUAGCUAUCAAUGUGCCUGAACCUUGAAUUUAUUUCUUUCGGGUUUCAUCUCUAGCCUACCCCAACUUGCUUGGGAAAAAAAGGCUAUGUUGUUGUUGUUGUUGUUGUUUUAACUAUGGUGGAGGUUCUUCUCCCCACCGGUUGAGUUUCUUUUUAGUAUUUCAUACAUUUUCUUUUUAUCGGUGCAAUUCUGACCUACUAUCACCAGGAGUGACAUUACUGGAGAUUUGAAUUCCAAUGAAUUAGAUAAUAAACUGGCUGAUAAUGGCAAUCAUGAGGAAAGGGGCGAUGUAAGUGAAAAUAAGAACUCCAAGAAGGAACUAGCAAGGAAGGAUGGAAGCAAUAGGACAGAUGAAAAUCAGAAUCCCAAUGAGAAACUAGGAAGAAACAGCCUGGAGAAGGGCGAGGUGAAGCCAGAUACUAAGUCUUGUGCAGAAAAACAAGCUGACCUGGUGGGAAGCAGCAAUGAGGGCUAUAGUUCCGCCUCUAAGAAGAAGAAUGUAGACAUUUCAAAAACUGAUGAAAAGAACUCCAAGAAGGAACUAGCAAGAAAUGACAUGGAGGAUAGCAAUAGGACAGAUGAAGAUCAGGUAUAGUCCACAAUGAAAAUUGGGCGGCUAGCUCAAACAAAUUGGUGCCUUUGUAUUCUGCUCAUGGAGCUCCUUAAUGAUAUGCUUUGAAUUAUGAUGAAUCAAUGGCAAGAACCCCAAUGAGAAACUAGGAAGAAACAGCCUGGAGAAGGGCGAGGGGAAGCUAGAUAAGCUUCUCACAGCAAGGCCUUUUUUUGAAGGCUGGUACAGAAGAACAAGUUAACAUGGUGAGAAGCAGCAAUGAGGAUGGUUCCGCUUCUAAGAAGGAGAAGGUAGACAUUUCAAAAAAAAUGUGCAGCUAGGUUAAAUUUGUUUAUGUUCUUCAUGGAAUUUCUUGGUAACAUGAAAUUUAUUUUAGCUGUCUGGAAAAGCUGGUGGUCCCAAAAAGGUUUGUCUUUGUGUGCUCAUCCUGGCAUUCUCUUCUGCUCUGCCAAAUUGAAUUCUAUUAGCAUAUUACUAUCUUUCAAGUAAUCUUGGCCUGAUGACAAACAUAUGCCAUCCCUUCGAUAAAGUUAACUUAUGCAGAACACUAGCCCACUUCCUGUUAUGGUUGCCUUGGCCCUUUUAUACCUGGUUUUCACGUGUUCUCUCUCUCUCUCUCUGAGGAUUUCAGGAUGCUUUACUUUGGGGAAACUGUCGUGAUGUGGUAAACCACAGCCGGGUGGCGGAAUGCACCCGCCUAAGCCAGAGGAUUUCAGGAUGCUUUACUUUGGGGAAACUGUCGUGAUGUGGUAAACCACAGCCGGGUGGCGGAAUGCACCCGCCUAAGCCCAGAGGGUGAGUACUCGGGGGUUACCUAGCGACUAGUUCGAUCUCGCUCAAGAACACGAUGAACACAACAGGUUUAGAGUGGUUCGGGCCGCCGAAGCGUAAUACUCUACGCCCACUGUGUGCUGUAUUGCUCAAGUCCGAAGAGUUGGAGCUGAGUCUAGCGUGCGUCUGUGCGUGUUCUGGAUGGCCUGCUCCUGUGCAGUGAGCGCCUCCCCUUUAUAUCUAUAUCUCAAGGGAGGCGCGUACAUGGCUGCUGGGUCCCCGACAGGUGGGCCCAACGAUGUAGUAUAAAAUAACGUAUUGUUCAUACAUUAUGGCGUCGCAGGCGAAGGAGAUCUCUCUUCUGGAUUUUCUUGUCUGCUCCUCGUCGGGAUUCAGAUGGAGUUGAAUUGGGGCUCUUCUUCUUCUUCUUCGACUCCAGUCUGUUCUUCCCCUUCUUGUUGCUGCUGGUCCUGCGUGUGCAAGUCGCUGGGCAAGCUGAGCAAGAGAAGGCGUGUGGCAAGACCGCCUCGAAAGGCCCGACGGCUGAUGGGCUGUUACGGAGGAUGUGCUGCAGCUUUCCAUUGUUUGCACCUUCGUUCCGGACUGAUGGUGGAGGACUGCGGCUUGUGUGCGCGGUUUGACGAACAGAUGGGGGUCGAUGGCCGGGUCGGAGGUGGAAGAUCUACAGUAGCAGUAGGGACUUGGUUGUAAUUUUCUUAUACCUUGGGGUCCUUUCUGCAAAAGUUGGGUGUACUGAUCCGUUUGCAUCCUUUUUAAUAUAUAUAUAUAUAUGUGCAUCCUCAUCGCAAAAAAAAAGUAAUCAGCCAUCACGUGCUUUUCCCCCCUCUUGUUGACGUCUAAUGUCUUUGCACGUUCGACCCAGAGAUCCAGAAAUAUUAUGCAGUGCAUGAGUGCAAGAACAAGCUAAAAUAAAAUUUGGUGGCACUGUGGCGGGGACGGCUAUCCCUUGUGCUACAGUACCUUUUCUGCGAGUUGGGCUACAGUACCUUUUCUGCGAGUUGUGCUACAGUGCCUGCUUCCAGGUUCCAAUUCCAACCAAGGGAAGGUGCAGGGUCAAAUUCUCCUUGCGCAGAGCUUCUGAUAGCUCAGCUACUGAUCAUGCUAGCAGAUCAAACGAAUUUACACGUAUUUUAUUGGCCACACGGGUCACGUCGAAGGAUCCUGAAAGGCCCAGUCGAUCGGUAAUCAUGCUUAAUCAAGAAACGCAACCUGUUCGGCUAAUCUAUUUUUUACAAUUGACACACGAGCAUGGCCACAACGAGAGGAAAUCAAAAUGAAGAUCCCCAUGUGAGUAACGAGCUCACCUGACGGAGGCGUCGAGUGUCGACUCACCACCAGCCAUGAAAACUUUUUUGUUUCUUCGAGUCGGUUGUUGCUUGCUCGCUUUGCUCACCUGUCCGGUAAAUCGAUGCCGUGCAUUGUAAGAGUUGCCCGAUGCAUGCGUUCCCACCCACGCCUACGCCUCUGCGGUGCGCCAGUCCAAGUCCAAGCAAGCAUCAUGGACGCGAAGAAAAAGGAAGAGGAGGAGCUUCCGGCGCAAGCGUUCGGCAUCCUCGCCCCGACCUGUUUCUUCUUUAACCCCGGGAUUUGCAUCUUGCUUAAUCCGCCGGUGAACAAGGCCCAGAACCAGAAGAAACUAACACCAGACUUUGGCCUGAUUGGUUUCUCGAUCAGGCAGCAAUCAAACAAACAAGAGGUCAGGUAAAUGCCGUCCCGUGCAAGAUGCGGCUAGCAUGCAGACAAUGCAGUGCUAGCUAGUUUAAUACUUUAAUCCGCACGGCGAUCCGGAAAGCGAAGGGCGGCCGUACGCGAGCGAUGGAUCCGCGACGGCGACGGGGCAGCGUGAAGAUCCGCCGCUCGCGGCGCUCGGCGUAGGAUGAUUGCGCGGCAAGGGAGUCUGGUGUGGCAGGGCGCACCGAGACGGAGCCGAAUGGGGAGGAGAACAGUGUGGGAGGCUUUACCCCGAGUGUAAAGCAAGGCCGCCGAAGGCGAGCUCCGCGGGUUACUUCACCGGCUGCCGGGCGCCCUGCCCAUAUACACUAGCUCGCUGCCCAGUGACCGCACCACGCCACCUGCCCCUCGCUAUUCAUUCUCAGCCGCAGCGGCCGGGCGGCGGCCGUCCGUUCGUCACGGCUUGGCUCUCGGCUUCUAGCUUAGGCAUGAGAUGUAGGAGGCGGCCAAGGGUCGGCAUGGGGUGGCUCCGGGCCGUGCUGUCCCCGCUGAGGAGGCUCUGGUGCCGCGCCAAAGCUGUGCAGCGCAAGAAGAGAGGCAUCUACAUCCUGUACGACGACGUCAGGUCGUGCCAAUGCGAGGACGUGCACGUGCUCUGGUCGAUCCUCGUGGAGUCCCACGGCCUGCCGCCGCCGCCGCCGCCGAUGCUGAGCCUGAAGCGGUGACGAGGGGGGCGGUGGGUGCUCCGGCACGGCAACCCCUGAAUAAGAGAAGGUCGAUCGACAUGGCCAUGGGAGGUGAAGUGUGGUAGUGCUUCUGAAUUCUGAUGUACGUAGGAUCAGUGGCUCAUAGCAGUGUGUUUCCGCCGGCGCGGUGUUCUACUGCCGGCCCGGAUCGGCGCCUCUGUUGGAGGCCGCUGAUGAGACCAAGGGUCGAGCGUAGCCGCUGCUCCGGGUGGCUUUGAUGAGUGUGGUGAUGGGCUUCCUGGAGCGCACCCCUCGUUCAUUUGACUCGUUUUCUGCGAGACCUGCAUUUGGAUGCAGUAAGUUCGUUCAUCUAUCUUGGAAUGAACAUAGCAGGAACAAAACUGAACCAUCAACAAUUGUCUGAAUCUGCUGUCAGUAUUUUUGUAUUUUCGCUUAUGUGUACGGUUAACACUCGCUGGUCAGCACCAAUUCUGCGCCGGCAAAUUCGU